GGAUGCGUCUUGUAUAAUCCUUCCCCGCAGGAUUCGCAAGAAUAAGGUUAAAAUGCGGGUAUAAACAUGUAGCGACUCUUAUUCGAUUACCUAAGGACGCCGGUUCGAUUCCGGCCACCUCCACCA
This 126-nucleotide transfer-messenger RNA is filed under the name Candidatus Omnitrophota bacterium. RNAcentral's name for it is "Candidatus Omnitrophica bacterium partial transfer-messenger RNA". It matches the Rfam family "transfer-messenger RNA", at positions 236 to 374 of the family's 374-position model. Rfam says of the family: Bacterial tmRNA, also known as 10Sa RNA or SsrA, is named for its dual tRNA and mRNA-like properties. The record is from RNAcentral. Lineage: Bacteria; Pseudomonadati; Candidatus Omnitrophota.